Phyllostomus discolor (pale spear-nosed bat) is the source of this 117-nucleotide long non-coding RNA. RefSeq lists it as uncharacterized. NCBI's taxonomy places the organism in Eukaryota, Metazoa, Chordata, Mammalia, Chiroptera, Phyllostomidae. The record is from RefSeq and is a predicted model, not a curated record. The transcript is spliced from 3 exons.
CCCCAGGCCUGAAUUCUGCCAGCCACCACCUGUGUGCCCAGGGUCUGCCCGCUGCCGUCUUGCACACCUGGGGUGCCUUGCAUGCCUGGUGCCACAGUUUUUUGUGCUGAGACCCCU